RNAcentral lists this ribosomal RNA (463 nucleotides) under Heteropoda tetrica. Its description in RNAcentral is "partial 16S ribosomal RNA". It matches the Rfam family "Bacterial large subunit ribosomal RNA", at positions 1803 to 2609 of the family's 2925-position model. The record is from RNAcentral. Lineage: Eukaryota; Metazoa; Arthropoda; Arachnida; Araneae; Sparassidae.
UUUUCCAAAAACAUAUUUAAUAGAACUAAUUAUUAAUACAGCCUGCUCAAUGAAAUAUAAAUAGCCGCAGUUCAUACUGUGCUAAGGUAGCAUAAUCAUUUGUCUUUUAAUUAAAGACUAGAAUGAAAGGUAUUACAUUUAAAUUAUUAUAUCAACUUUACCUUUUAAAUUUAUUUUAAAUGUAAAAAAACAUUUAUUAUUAAGAAAGACGAUAAGACCCUAUUGAACUUCACUUAAGUUUAACUGGGGAAGUUAAAUAAUUAAUACUUUAUAUAUAAUCAUAUAAAUGAUCUAAUCAAAUUAACUCUAUGAUUAAGUUACCAUAGGGAUAACAGCGUAAUAUUUAUUAAUAGAUCUUAUAUAAAUAAAUGAUUACGACCUCGAUGUUGAAUUAAUUACUCUAUUAUACGCAAAAGUAUAAAAAGAAGGUCUGUUCGACCUUUAAAUAAUCACAUGAUCUGAG